Molecule: long non-coding RNA, 379 nt
Filed under: Dromaius novaehollandiae (emu)
Lineage: Eukaryota; Metazoa; Chordata; Aves; Casuariiformes; Dromaiidae
Description: lncRNA (ENSDNVG00000012365.1)
Source: RNAcentral
AGUAGUAGACCCACAAUGGAAAUAUUUUUUGAUGUAAAAGAUGCAAUAAGAUUAUUAAAGUCUUGGCCAUGAGAGGGGGUUUUGUUUUGUUUUGUUUUGUUUUUUGAUUUUUUUAAGUGUACGUCAUUUUUUGUUCCUCAUUCCAGGUGAAAUCUCUGUCUCUGCAAGUUCAUUCUUUGCCCAGUGAAGUCAUUAGGAAGCCUUAGUUUGACUUUGGGAUGGAACUUUGUUCUCCUUGUGGGGUAGCUGAGCACUGAUGAUUCCUGGGCUGAGCAGUGAGUUGGAAGUGACCAGGAAGCUGCUCUCAACUGUGGAUGUUCUGGAGUUGAGCAGAUACAGAAAGCCGACGCUGUGUCAAUGGACAAACUUCUSCAGUUCA